GAAAAUUACAAGCAUAAGCUUAAAACUCAAAGGACUUGGCGGCGCUUUAGACCCACCUAGAGGAGCCUGUCCUAUAACCGAUAACCCCCGUUAAACCUUACCUUCUUUUGCCUCCAGUCUAUAUACCGCCGUCGUCAGCUUACCCUUUGAGGGUUUAUUAGUAAGCAAAAUCGAUUUAGCCCCAAACGUCAGGUCGAGGUGUAGCAUAUAAGAAGUGAAGAGAUGGGCUACAUUUCCUAUUAAAGGGCUUACGAAUAAUGCUUUGAAACAAGCAUAUUGAAGUAGGAUUUAGCAGUAAGUAAAAAAUAGAGUGUUUU
RNAcentral lists this ribosomal RNA (317 nucleotides) under Anablepsoides hartii. Its description in RNAcentral is "partial 12S ribosomal RNA". It matches the Rfam family "Bacterial small subunit ribosomal RNA", at positions 875 to 1360 of the family's 1533-position model. The record is from RNAcentral. Lineage: Eukaryota; Metazoa; Chordata; Actinopteri; Cyprinodontiformes; Rivulidae.